CUGUAGAAGCUUUGUUCUUUUGCUCUUUGCAAUAGAUCUUGCCCCUGCUCACUCUUUGGGUCCACACUGCCUUUAUGAGCUGCAACACUCACCACGAAGGUCUGCAGCUUCACUCCUGAAGCCAGCGAGACCACGAACCCAUCGGGAGGAACAAGCAACUCCAGACGCGCCGCCUUAAGAGCUGUAACACUCACCGCGAAGGUCCGCAGCUUCGCUCCUGAGCCAGCUAGACCACGAACCCACCAGAAGGAAGAAACUCCGAACACAUCCCAACAUCAGAAGAAACAAACUCCAAACACAUCCGAACUUCAGAAGGAACAAACUCCAGACGCGCCACCUUAAGAGCUGUAACACCGCGAGGGUCCGCGGCUUUAUUCUUGAAGUCAGUGAGACCAAGAACCCACCAAUUCCGGACACAAUACUUUUCACACUGCGUGAUGAAGAAAUUUAGCUUUAUUGUUAGGCAUUGUGGCUCUGAAGACCUGGAAGCACUGCUAACUGUUCUCUCGAUUUUCUGACGCUCGGCCACAUCAACCUGUCAUGCUAGUUGUGAGGAGAAGUCAAGGACAGUGACACAGCCAGCCAGUCUGAGGCAUUUUCCAUCAUCCUGAAGGAGUUGCCCUAUCCUGCUUUUCACUGGAGGGGGCAUGGAUGGAUCUGGAAUGUAUAAUUGGAGUAGACAUUCUCAGCAGCUGGCGGAAACCCCACAUUGGUUCCAUGACAUGUGGAAUGAAGGCUAGGAUGGUAGGAAAAGAUAAGUGGAAGCUGCUAAAACUGCAUUUACCUUGAAAAAUAUUAAACACAAAGAAACACUACAUUCCUGGAAAGACUGCACCAUCAAGGACUUGAAAGACUCAGGGAUGGGGUGAUUCUUAUUAUGUUCUCACUCAACUUGCCUGUGCGGGAGUCAGAUGAAUCUUGGAGAAUGGCAGUGGAUUAUUAUAAGCUUAACCAGGUGAUGACUCCAAUUGCAGCUGCUGUACUGGAUGUGGUUUCAUUGCUCGAGCAAGUUAAUACAUCCCCUGGUACCUAGUAUGCAGCUAUUGAUCUAGCAAAUGCCUUUUUCUCCAUACCUCUCAAUAAGAACAACCAGAAUCAGUUUGCUUUUAGCUAGUAAGGUCAGCAAUAUAGCUUCACUGUGCUGCAUCAGGGGUAUGUUAAUUCUCUACCACUAUGUCAUAAUUUAGUUUGCAGGAAUCUUUAUCACCUUUCCCUUCCAAAAGAUAUCACACUAGUCUAUUACACUGGUGACAUGAUGCUGAUUGGACGUAGUGAGCAAGAAGUAGCAACUACUCUAUAGUUAUUGGUAAGACAUUUGCAUGUCAGAGAGUGAAUUUUCAAGAAAAUUCAGUGAAAUUUCUAGGGGUCAGUAUGUGGAGCAUGUGAGAUAUUACUUCUAAGGUAAAGGAUAACUUGAUGUAUUUGCCUCACCUUCAACCAUAAAAGAGGAACAAUGCCUAGUGGGCCUCUUUGGAUUCUGGAGGCAACAUACUCCUUAUUUGAGUGUGUUACUCUAGUCCAUUUACUGAGUAAACUGCUUUUUGCUAGUUUUCAGUGAGGCCCAGAACAAGAAGAGACUCUGCAACACGUCUAGGCUGCUGUGCAAGCUGCUCUGUCACUUGGGCCUUAUGAUCCAGUAGAUCCAAUGGUGCUUGAAGUGUCAGUGGUAGACAGGGAUGCUGUCUGGAGCCUUUGAUGGGCCCCUAUUGGUGAAUCACAGUGUGGAUCCUUAGGAUUUUGGAACAAAGCCCUGAUAUUUUCUGUGGAUAACUACUCUCCUUUUGAGAAACAGUUCUUAGUUUGCUACUGGGCCUUAGUAGAGACUUAAUACUUAACUAUGCACUACUAAGUUACUAUUUGACCUGAGCUUCCUACCGUGAACUGAGUGUUGUCUUACCCGUAAAGCCAUGAAGUUGGGCAUGCACAGCAGCACUCCAUCAUCAAAUGGAAGUGCUUUGUGUGAGAUUAGGUCAAAUCAGGCCCUUGGCACAAGUAAGUUACAUGAAAAGAAGGGGCCUAAUUGUCAUGGCACCCACUCCUAUUACAGGACCUUCUCUCUCCCGCCUGCUUCUGUGGCCUCACAGGGGAGCUCCUUGUGAUCAGUUGAUAGAGGAAAAAAGACUCAGGCCUGAUUUACAGAAGAUUCUGCAUGAUAUACAGCUACCACCUGAAAGUGGGCAGCUGCAGCACUGCAGACCUUCUCUGAAACAUUCCUCAAGGACAAUGGUGAAGAAAAAUCCUUCCAGUAGGCAGAACUUCAAGCAGUGCACCUGAUUGUUCACUUUGCUUGGGAGAAAAGGUAGGACAUGUGACUGUACACUGAUUCAUAGACUGUGGGCAAUGGUUUGGUAGAUGGUCAAGGACUUGGAAGGAACAUGACUGGAAUAUUGGUGAGAAGGAAAUUUGGGGAAGAAGUAUGUGGAUAGAUCUCUCUCAAUGGGCAAAAAACCAUGAAGAUAUUUGUGUCCCAUGUAAAUAUUUACAAAAGGAUAACCUCAGCAGAGGAAGACUGUAAUAAUAAAGUGGAUAGAAUAGCCCAUUCUGUAGCUACCACUCAGCUUCUUUCUCCAGCCAACCCUGUUCAUUGCCCAAUGGGCUCAUGAACAAAGUGGCCAUUGUGGCAAAAAAGGGGGGUUAUGCAUAGGCUCACAACAUAGACUCCUACUCACUAAGACCAACCUGGCUACAGCCACCACUGAGUUCUAAUCUGCAAGAAGCAGAAACCAACACCGAGUCCCUAAUAUGGCACCAAUCCUCAUGGUGGCCGGCCAGCUCCUGGGUGGCAGGUUGAUUAUAUUGGACUGCUUCCAUCAUGGAAGAGACAGCAGUUUGUCCUUACUGAAAUAGGUAUUUACACUGGAUAUACAUUUUUCUUCCUGCACACAAUGCUUCUCCCAAAACUACCAUCCAUGGACUUACGGAAUGCUUUAUCCACCAUCUUGGUAUUCCACACAGCAUUGCUUCUGACUAAGGAACUUACUUCACUGCCAAAGAAGCAUGGCAAUGGGUAUAUGCUCAUGGAAUUCCCUGGUCUUACCAUGUUUCCUGCCAUCCUAUAGCUGCUGGCUUGAUAGAGUGGUGGAAUGGUUUUUUGAAAUCACAGUUGUAAUCCCAGCACUUUGGGAGGCUGAGGUGGGUGGAUCACCUGAGGUCAGGAAUUCGAGACCAACCUGACUAAUAUGGUGAAACCCUGUCUCUACUAAAAAUACAAAAAUUAGCUGGGCGUGUGGCAUGCACCUGUAGUCCCAGCUACUUGGGAGGCUGAGACAGGAGAAUUGCUUGAACCCAGGAGGUGGAGGUUGCAGUGAGUCAAGAUCAUGCCGCUACACUUCAGCCUGGGUGACGGAGCGAAACACUGUUUCAAAGAAAAAAAAGAAAAAAGAGAAAGAAAUCACAGUUGUAACACCAGGUAGGUGACAAUGCUUUCUAGGACUGGUGCAAGGUUCUCCAGAAGGCUGUAUGUGCUCUGAAUCAGCAUUUAAUAUGUGGUGCUCUGUCUCCCAUAGCCAAAAUUCAUUGGUCCAGAA
This is a long non-coding RNA of Gorilla gorilla gorilla (western lowland gorilla), 3527 nucleotides long. RefSeq lists it as uncharacterized. The record is from RefSeq and is a predicted model, not a curated record. NCBI's taxonomy places the organism in Eukaryota, Metazoa, Chordata, Mammalia, Primates, Hominidae. The transcript has 3 exons.